AAAAAAUAUUUUCGUUGUUUCCCUUUAUUUCCAACUAACCUUCUAUAGACAAAUCCGAUAAUUUCUUCGAAAUCAAAAGCCUCUGUAUUGCAGAAAAGAUUGAUCUUCGAUCUUUCCUCACAACACAGAUACACGAAGAUAUGAAUCUCAUGGUCAUCAUCACCACCGUCGUUACAUCUCAGAGAACCAGAAAGAAAGAGACAUAAAUGAAGGCGAAGGGAAUGGUUAGCUGAAGGAAUUGCAGGUCUUCAACAAUGGGUUUUACAUGCAUCGCGCGCUGGAGUGACGAGAUCAUGCUUGAGUUGGAGUUUCAGUCAAAAAGUGAUAAAUCAAGGCUUCUAUAGAUACUUCCAUUUGGGUGGUCGCCACUUUUAACUGUGUAACUUUGGUUAUUAAGCAUCAGAAGUAGUCUUAGAGUGGAAAACAAACUCCUGUCUCGAAGUAAUUCAGGUAGACGUACAUACCAUCUUUUAGUUACAAAUUCUAUUGAAAGUAUGAUGUCUGGUUUGCUUUGCUGUUUACUCAUGUCUAUCGCAAGUGAACUUGAAUCUCCAGUUAAAGAUUGUCAAGUGUUAUCGUGUCAUUAUCUUCAUUAUUUUAAGUAUUUGGAAAUUUUGUAAGUUUAUGUAUAUCAGUUACUUAUUUUACAUUUCUAUAGACAUGCUUGGUGGUUUUAACUAA
This is a long non-coding RNA of Papaver somniferum (opium poppy), 681 nucleotides long. RefSeq lists it as uncharacterized. Lineage: Eukaryota; Viridiplantae; Streptophyta; Magnoliopsida; Ranunculales; Papaveraceae. The record is from RefSeq and is a predicted model, not a curated record. The transcript has 2 exons.